GACGAACGCUGGCGGCGUGCUUAACACAUGCAAGUCGAACGGAAAGGCCCUGCUUUUGUUGGGUGCUCGAGUGGCGCACGGGUGAGUAACACGUGAGUAACCUGCCCUUGACUUUGGGAUAACUUCAGGAAACUGGGGCUCAUACCGGAUAGGAGCUCCUGCUGCAUGGUGGGGGUUGGAAAGUUUCGGCGGUUGGGGAUGGACUCGCGGCUUAUCAGCCUGUUGGUGGGGUAGUGGCUUACCAAGGCUUUGACGGGUAGCCGGCCUGAGAGGGUGACCGGCCACAUGGGGACUGAGAGACGGCCCAGACGCCUACGGGAGGCAGCAGUGGGGAAUAUGGCACAAUGGGCGGAAGCCUGAUGCAGCAACGCCGCGUGCGGGAUGACGGCCUUCGGGUUGUAAACCGCUGUGGCCUGUGACGAAGCGUGAGUGACGGUAAUGGGUAAAGAAGCACCGGCUAACUACGUG
RNAcentral lists this ribosomal RNA (468 nucleotides) under uncultured bacterium. Its description in RNAcentral is "partial 16S ribosomal RNA". It matches the Rfam family "Bacterial small subunit ribosomal RNA", at positions 28 to 507 of the family's 1533-position model. The record is from RNAcentral.